Molecule: non-coding RNA, 1633 nt
Organism: Chlorocebus sabaeus (green monkey)
Lineage: Eukaryota; Metazoa; Chordata; Mammalia; Primates; Cercopithecidae
Source: RefSeq, a predicted model, not a curated record
UAUGUUGGCCAGACUGGUCUCAAACUCCUGACCUCAGGUGAUCCGCCUGCCUUGGCCUCCCAAAGUGUGGGAUUACAGGUGUGAGCCACCUCUGGCCUCAGUGUACAAUUUUUGUUCCUCAUGUCCCUCAUGUUAAGACAGAGGUAUGUAGAAGUGCCUAUCUGAGCACACAGCAGGGUCUCCUAGCCCAAAUACAGGAGUGAAGGGAGACUUCCUGGAGGGAUAAUUCUGAGCUGAGUCUUAAGGGUUUAUAGGAAUUAUUCUGAUGGAGAAGAAGUUAAGGAUUUCUGCACAAAAGAUGCAACUUGACCAAAGAUUUUGAAAGUGAGAGGGAACAUGGACUAUUGAGGAGCUGCAAGUAAUUCAGUGUGGCUGAAGCUCAAAUUCACGAUGGAACGUUGAAGGAGAUGAUGCUGGAAAGAGACAGAUAUACCAGAUGAUACAGGGCCUUGCAUGUCACACUAUGGGAGUUUAGAUACAAGGUGAACAUAAGAGUUGUGAUGGCUCAGGUUUUCAACUUGGGUCACUGAUGGGGAGUGGGGACAUAAGGGGCAAUGUAGAAGGAAGAGCUUUGGAUGAUAAUGGGGGGUUUAUGUUUUGACAUAAUGAGUGCAGACAUGUCUUGGAGACAGCUGGAUAUAUGAGUCUGGAGAUCAGAAGAGAAAUUGGUCAAGAUAAUGAAUUUGGGAGUUGUGAACAUACAGGUUGUAUCCAUAGGUAGGGAUGAGUCCACUGCAGGAAAGCGUAUAGAAUGAAAAGAGAUCAAAGCUAAGAAUAAAAUCCAGAGAAACUAUUUUCUUUAAAGAAUAAAUCAGUGGAGGAGAAAAUCUUGUGUCAUGGUGCCAAGGAAAAAGGAAGUUUCAAGAAGACAGAUUGGGGCAGCAGUUGCAAAUACCACAGAGAGGACAAAUUAAUUAAGCAUGAAUUCAGGAACAAGGGGAUCAUUACUAUUACCAAAAAUGUUGCACAGCAGCAGCAAGAAUGACAGCGACCACGUUUGAGCAUCAUCUUGGUAUGUCAGGUACUCGGCAUGUUAUAUAUGUUACCAUAUUUAAAUUGCACAUUAACAAUUUACAGAUCAGGUAACUAAGGCUUGAGCAGAUUAGGUGGCUCAUCCAAAGCUGUUCUGCUAUCCAGUGAUUGUCAGAUCUAAAUAAUUCAAUGUCUCUCCAUCACUCUGUCCUAAGAGAAUGCAGACUAUGAGACAAAAGAUACAUGACACAGCAGAACUUUGCCUAGGUGGUAUCUCACUUUUAUCUCCUGUGCUGUAUUAUCAGUUGAUGAGAUGGAUUAUAUGUGAUUAUAAUAAUAAAUUUUCUGACUCUUAUACAUUAACACCUUACAAAUAAGUAGGUGGAUGUAUUCCAGUGGAAUUUACCUUAUCCCUACCACCAGCAGAGACAUUGCAAAUGUUUACUAACUGGUAAGACCUAGACAGUGACCAAUCCAAAACAUAUCUUCUCCCCCGGAGCCAGGUCCUAGAGGCCCCCUGCUGUGCCACGUGGUACCCUUUAGUUGCUGGAUGGUGGGAACUUAGAGGAAAAUGGGGAAUGGAUAGAGAGCAGCAACUAGCCGACAUGGAAGUGGCAUCAUGGACCAGGAGUUGUGAACGAAAUAAAGACUGUGAAACUUU